This is a long non-coding RNA of Canis lupus familiaris (dog), 798 nucleotides long. RefSeq lists it as uncharacterized. The transcript is spliced from 4 exons. NCBI's taxonomy places the organism in Eukaryota, Metazoa, Chordata, Mammalia, Carnivora, Canidae. The record is from RefSeq and is a predicted model, not a curated record.
CAGGCUGACAGGACUUUGUCAACCGAGGUGCAGGCUCCCAGGUGAGGAUCCCUGGCUGUGUGACUCUCACUCCAGAGCCUUGUGUGUCCUUCUGGGGCCUCCGGCCUAUGAGAGCUAAAUAAACCCUGACGUGGCUCCUCUCGUGGGCUAAUCCAUGUUAAAGCCAUCAGAAACGAUUUAUUGAUUGGUUGAAGAGUGAAAUCCCAGAAGGAAGAUACGAUCACCUUUUCCCAGCAAAUCUCGAAAUCAGUCUGAUAAUGAAAACUUUUUCAAGGCAGGACUUGAAAAUAAGAAUUUCAAACUAAGCCAGCUUAUGGCAAGCGCUAAUGACACCUGUAAUACCUGCAUCAUACCUUCGCGGACACACCUGGGCCGGUGUUCGACCAACGCCUCAGCCUGGCCGCGUAGACGUGUACAGCGAGCCUUCCCGACGCAAACAAUGUCUGCAGUAUUUCAUAAUUGGCGAGAUGGAGAGCGCCUAUUUUCCAAGAUGUUCAGGAAUAACUCAGUUUUAAAGACCACGUCCUAACAACCCGAAUGGGCCGAUUAUUCCAGGGGAAUCCGCUGAGAAUCGUUGCCACGCGAGGUAGGAAAAUGUGCCUGAAUUAUUGCCGGAACUUUGCUAAGAGAUUCACGGUUUCCAUUGCCAGGAGAGACGUUAAUGCCCAUUUAUUAAAAAUGUUUUUGAGGUUUUACUUCCAAUAGAAGGAUUUGUUUUAUUUAAGUAUGUCCUCUGAAGCGGUUGCAGUGGCAGGACCAUCCGUCUGCCCGUCCCCUGACUCAGCAGCGCUGGGCGGC